CAGCAGGGGAGCAGGGCCCAGGCGACAGGGCCAGCCCCAGCCCCAGGCACCGAUGAUGCCAGGACCUCAGCCACAUUCUGUCCUUAAUAACUCGGGGCCCUGCUUCUACACAUACAUCAGGGAGCGGAGAAACUGAGGACCUUGGCCUCACUCUGCCCUUAGCCCCCGGCUGGGAGGGGUGGGGCCCAGUCAGCGCCUGGCCCCUGAUGCCCGAGCACGCACCCCUUCACGCCGUCCUGCCUGCCGAGGGUUGGCAGGCGUUCUCGGCCUCCGGUGCGCUUUGCCCACACCUGCCUCUACCAGCCUGCUGGCACGUAGAGUCCUGGCGGGGCCAGGAGGCCCGGGUGUGGCGAAAAGCAACUAGCCACGACUAGGCACAUGGCAGAUACCCACAGAUCACGGCUUCCGUCCCUGUGUGAACCCAGACUGCCUUCUGACCUCACUGGGUAUUCAACUCUGAUUGCUGGGAGUGACGGCCUGAAGGUUUGUGCUGAGGAGGAGUCUGAAGAUCGAUCUGGGAUCAAGAGGACAAGGUCACAAUUAAUGACAUCUGUCAGGACCUCAGGAGAGAACAGACAGAUGUCUGCUAUACGUCCCCUGUGUCUGGAACAGUCCAGAUUGUGAGACCUCGGGUGCAGAGGCCACAUCCAUUGUAUGUGUGUUAUUCUGUAUUCUGUCCACAGUACUGCCUGGGGCCCAGCAUACCAUGGGUGCUCAAUAAAUGCUCACUGAAAGGUUUACUCAC
Long non-coding RNA from Canis lupus familiaris (dog), 745 nucleotides. RefSeq lists it as uncharacterized. The record is from RefSeq and is a predicted model, not a curated record. The transcript is spliced from 3 exons. Lineage: Eukaryota; Metazoa; Chordata; Mammalia; Carnivora; Canidae.